RNAcentral lists this ribosomal RNA (497 nucleotides) under uncultured bacterium. RNAcentral's name for it is "partial 16S ribosomal RNA". It matches the Rfam family "Bacterial small subunit ribosomal RNA", at positions 28 to 507 of the family's 1533-position model. The record is from RNAcentral.
GACGAACGCUGGCGGCGUGCCUAAUACAUGCAAGUUGAGCGAUGAAGAUUGGUGCUUGCACCCAUUUGAAGAGCAGCGAACGGGUGAGUAACGCGUGGGGAAUCUGCCUUUGAGCGGGGGACAACAUUUGGAAACGAAUGCUAAUACCGCAUAACAACUUUAAACAUAAGUUUUAAGUUUGAAAGAUGCAAUUGCAUCACUCAAAGAUGAUCCCGCGUUGUAUUAGCUAGUUGGUGAGGUAAAGGCUCACCAAGGCGAUGAUACAUAGCCGACCUGAGAGGGUGAUCGGCCACCUUGGGACUGAGACACGGCCCAAACUCCUACGGGAGGCAGCAGUAGGGAAUCUUCGGCAAUGGACGAAAGUCUGACCGAGCAACGCCGCGUGAGUGAAGAAGGUUUUCGGAUCGUAAAACUCUGUUGGUAGAGAAGAACGUUGGUGAGAGUGGAAAGCUCAUCAAGUGACGGUAACUACCCAGAAAGGGACGGCUAACUACGUG